UCCAGGUACUGUCCAGGGAGUUCCACCAGGUUCUGUUCCCGGUGCUGUCCAGGGAGUUCCACCAGGUUCUGUUCCAGGUACGGUCCAGGGAGUUCCACCAGGUUCUGUUCCAGGUACUGUCCAGGGAGUUCCACCAGGUUCUGUUCCAGGUACUGUCCAGGGAGUUCCACCAGGUUCUGUUCCAGGUACUGUCCAGGGAGUUCCACCAGGUUCUG
Non-coding RNA from Pimephales promelas (fathead minnow), 215 nucleotides. The record is from RefSeq and is a predicted model, not a curated record. Lineage: Eukaryota; Metazoa; Chordata; Actinopteri; Cypriniformes; Leuciscidae.